RNAcentral lists this ribosomal RNA (2198 nucleotides) under Triticum aestivum (bread wheat). RNAcentral describes it as "partial small subunit ribosomal RNA". The record is from RNAcentral. Lineage: Eukaryota; Viridiplantae; Streptophyta; Magnoliopsida; Poales; Poaceae.
UUUAGACUUAGACUUCUAUGAAUUCUUCCGCAACCCAUGACUUGAUCUACUUAAUAACUCUUUUACUCUCCCCCACUUUUAGUUCGGGUAGAAUUUCGACCCGGUGUGCGGGCUGGCCGCGCGGGCGAUAUUUGGACGGACAGUGGGCCCCCAGGGACGACCUUGUGUCCUCAUCGGUCUGUUACCUCAGGCGGAAAGGUUGUCGACGCGCCGAGCCCGAGGUACAGGACGAGAUGAGUAGCGACGAGGAGUUGCGGGAGAAGCAGCGCGUGGUGAAGGAGAGGCGGGGCGGUCGCGGCAGGGGCGAAGAGUCGCUCCGGUUGUUGCCGCCACGCGACUCGACCCGCGAUUCCCGCCGGUCCCUCCGGCUCAGGCACCGCCGCCGCCCUACGAGGCCGGUGCCGGCGCACAAGGACCUACCGUAGCAGCCGCUCCUGCCCGCCGGGCCCACGCUCACGUUGUGGACGAAGCUUCCCGGUCUGACGAGGCAGGCCUGCGGGCUGACGUGGCAGCUGCGGCUGUCACCCCUGGGCUACAAGGACCUCGGCAUGACCUACGCCGUGCGCCUCCGGUCGCGGCACCACCAGAGGCCCACCGUGGCGUACUCGAUGUCUCGGUGGCUGCCAGAGAAGGUCAGGCAGCUCGAGCUCGCGACGUAGUCCGCCGACGUGUCCCGGCAGCCAUUGCGGCAGCGGCUGCUGUUCGUUUAGCAGAAGCGGUGGCCGAGGUACGUCGACUAGUUGCGCGACCACAUGCGGGACAGGGGCCUGUCGUUGAGGCCGAGGUGCCGGUCGCACCAGCGGUGGUGCGGCAUGAUGGGCCGAAUGUCUUGUGUCUAGCACAACAAGCUGUCGGCCCUCAUGUUUACCCGGCCCUUGUGGAGGUACACCCGGUUUCGCAGCCCCUUGAGGUGGUGGUUCCUCCUGCAGUAGCUCAAGCACUGCAGCGGCUUGUUGGGGCUGCGGGACGAGUUGGUCGGGCAGCAGCCGCCGAGCAGCCGCUAGGAGCUGGUGCGGAUGAAGACCGGCGUGAAGUGCGUAUAGGGGCGCGGGAGGCUGCGCCUGCAGUACGAGAAGUGGUGGAGGUUCGAGAGGCCGGUACGGUCGUCAGCUAAGCCCACCCGCGACUAUUCCCUGCUCUUCCACCGGUUCGCCCAGUUACUGAUGUACUACGUCUUGUGGUACCCGCGCAGGGCGCUGUGGGUCGAGGCCUACGAGUCGUAGAAGUUCCGGUAUGACCGGUUGGACGUGCCGUUCCUCCUGUAGAAGCGGAAGCCCGUGCUGCAGUACUCUCGGUUUACCGCGUUCGAGUCGCGGCAGCACAGCGCGAGGGCGGCCUAGAGCGACGUCUUGUAGGGAGGCGUCAUGACGUGGAUGAAGCUGUUCUAGUCCCUCGGUAGGGGUCGAAUACGCACCCAGUUCACACUCUCCCUCCUUCUGUCACUGACGAGGCUGCACGACGAGUUCCGGUUCUAUUAGUGUGCCAGGCCGCAGACCUUGCUGCGGUCGUCGGCCAUGUGCUCCUAUUCGGAGUAGUUCAGGGUCCUGCUGAAGCUGGACGAGGAGCUCUCCUAGUGUCUUAAACAGCUACGGCUCGAGUGGCGACUACCAAGGUUGAGGUACACUACAGGGUACAAUUAUAUGUCUUUGCCCAGUUCUUUUACAGUCAUAUGUCUUCCAUACACAAGUCAACCAUUUCGGAGAUCACAAAUACUAUGGAACCUUUCUAGAUUCAAUAACGUAAUUACAGUCUAGAAAGGUUCCAUAGUAUUUGGUUUUAGUAGUGAUAAGUUAUAAGGGAGGCAAGCUUUAAUGAACAGAGCUUUUACCUACAUAAAUCUUGAUUUUAUACAGAUCUAUGUAGGUAAAGACACUGUUCAUUAAAGUUCGCCUCCCUCAUGAAAGGUUCAAUAACGUAACUAACCUGAUGUGCGUUCCACUACUAGUGUGCUGGUGUGCAACACCUACCUGAUACUUGCUUGUGACUUGUAAUGGCCUUACUAGUCGAUACGCAACUAACAAGAGACACACAUAAUGAUCAUGAAUAAUCUGUUCUUUUUACAAAGGUACGACAUAACUCACCUCCUAAUUCCUCGCGUACGUUUCGAGUCUUUGACCAUGUAAUUACGAUCAAACAGGCUCAGUAGUAAAAGAAAAGAAAAAACACACCCUUGAGUCCCUCAAAAAUAACUUGUCACU